AUAGAAAAUAAGACGAGUUACAUCAUUAGUCCAGAUACCCUCUCAUUUGAAUUAUUAUCAUAUUGAGGACAGUGCAGAUAUUGCAGAUAUUUUAGCAUCUCGCAGUUAUAGUUCUCAGACUGCAAAACAUACAGGUCUGGCAUGGAUGGCUACUUAACAGUUCCCAAAGACAUUUGUAGAGUUACAGUAAUAAGUGUGUUUGGGAAUUAAAGAGUAGCCACACUCAGACGCUGCCAUCUAGUGGUUGCUGCAUGCUCCUGUGGCAAUGCAGUCUAUAUA
Sander lucioperca (pikeperch) is the source of this 279-nucleotide long non-coding RNA. RefSeq lists it as uncharacterized. The transcript is spliced from 3 exons. NCBI's taxonomy places the organism in Eukaryota, Metazoa, Chordata, Actinopteri, Perciformes, Percidae. The record is from RefSeq and is a predicted model, not a curated record.